AAAACCAGCACCAACAACCUGAUUUAUGGAUUGCAAUCAUCACGGCUGGAUUUUAAAGCUGCAGGGGCUGAAAUCCUCUCCAGAUCCCCGGGAUUAAAUUCUCAGCAGGACCUCCCUAUGCUGUGGUGCUAAGGAGUGCGUUCAGAUUACCUGGGAAAGGAGGCCAACCCCCGUCCUGCUUGCAGAAGGGUAGCACUCUUGAAUAGAAUAAAGCCCUGAGCAUUGGGUGAAAUCGCUGUGGGUUUGUGCCCACAUAAUGCAGAGGUACCAACACCCCUCAGUGCCUGGGCUGGCAGAUUUUCCUGAGGACGGGAAGUGUGGUGGUUGGUAGAGGAUGGACUCUGUUGUCUUCCAGCCCUCAGUGCCACAGUGUCUGACAUCUGGCAUGGCUCAAUCACUUAUAUGUGAAAGAUCAAACACUUCAAAGGGUCUCCCUGGGUUUGGAAAUGGAAAGCUCUUCUUAUGUCCUCAGACAGGUACAGCAGCAUGCUGGACAGCUGUGUGCGUUAUCAACAGUAAAAACAAA
Molecule: long non-coding RNA, 526 nt
Filed under: Gallus gallus (chicken)
Lineage: Eukaryota; Metazoa; Chordata; Aves; Galliformes; Phasianidae
Description: lncRNA (ENSGALG00010017261.1)
Source: RNAcentral